RNAcentral lists this ribosomal RNA (229 nucleotides) under uncultured bacterium. RNAcentral's name for it is "partial 16S ribosomal RNA". It matches the Rfam family "Bacterial small subunit ribosomal RNA", at positions 568 to 796 of the family's 1533-position model. The record is from RNAcentral.
UACGUAGGCGGAAAAUUAAGUCAGUAGUGAAAUCCUGCAGCUUAACUGUAGAACUGUUAUUGAUACUGGUUUUCUUGAAUAUAGUUGAGGUAGGCGGAAUGUGUAAUGUAGCGGUGAAAUGCUUAGAUAUUACACAGAACACCGAUUGCGAAGGCAGCUUACUAAGCUAUAAUUGACGCUGAGGUACGAAAGCGUGGGGAGCGAACAGGAUUAGAUACCCUGGUAGUCC